CGUUCUUAUUUAUUUUUCUGUCGCCCAGCCGGCGACAAAGAUCCUAAACUCCCGUUGCAGCAGCGUCCACCUGCUGAGGGCGGGAACGGCCUGAGCGACAGGCCGCCCACCGACCUGUUUCUCCUGAACGCAAGGCCCUUUCUGCUCUCCUGUCCGUGUGGGGUCCGCAAGGCUGAUUUUUGGGCUCGCCUGUUUGCAAGCGGUGGUGGAAAGGAGUACGAGGGAAAACGUAACGCCGUGGGCGACGCUCCGAAGUUCCUUCAAAGUGGGAGGAAUUCCUCGCUGUCAUGCUUGCAGAGAAAGGCCAAAUUCUGCAGAGGGCUUUCCUUGCCUCAGCAGACAAAAUCCCAAUGUGGGGAAAGGAGAUUUCUUUUCUGUGAGUUUCUUCUCGGCCAUUUUUGGUUCUUCCAGCAACUUGGCCAUGGGCAGAACCCAAUAGAACAGCUUCGGCUAGCAGUGCCUCAGUUUCUUUCUUUCUUUCUUUCUUUCUUUCUUUCUUUCUUUCUUUCUUUCUUCCCUUGUUUCCUUCCUUCCUCCUUCCUUUCACCUUCAUUCUUUUCAUUCCUUCCUUCCAUCCAUCUUUCCUUCCUUCCUUCCUUCCUUCCUUCCUUCCUUCCUUCCUUCCUUCCUUCCUUUCUUUCCUUCCUUCCUUCCUUCUUUCCUUUUCCUUCCUUCCUUUCCUUCUUUCUUUCUGCUCUUCUCUUCCUUCCUUCCUUUUCAAUUCUUCCUUCUUUCUUUCUGUCCUUCCCCCCCCUUUCUUCCCUCCCUCUUUUCUUCCUUCCUUCUAUCCUUCCUUCCUUUUCUCCUCUGCUUUCCUUCCCUUGCUUCCUUUUCUUUCUUCCUUUUCCUCUCUUCCUCUCUCCCUUCCUUCUUUCCCUGCUUCCCUCCUUCCUUUCUCCCAUGGUGUCUGAACCUGUGAGCCUGACGGCACAGUGGUGCUACCCUUUUCAUGAGCAUCUUUCCUUUCCAUUGAACAAGGUCGCGGGUUGGGCUGGUUGUUUUAUCUCACAUACACACACACACACACUUCCCAAGGUGGAAUCUUUGCUCCCGAUUCAGAGAAGGCGGUGGCACAUCUGGGCAUCUGGGGGCCCUCAAACUGCCCAGGAGAGAGGGCAAGCGAAAUUGGGUCGCCUCAUCUCUGCCUGGAAAGGAGGAUGGGGCACCGGACCCCCCGGGGGUGACGUGGGGCAGGCAGGGGGCAGGUUCUGGGGUGGCUGA
RNAcentral lists this long non-coding RNA (1221 nucleotides) under Salvator merianae (Argentine black and white tegu). RNAcentral describes it as "lncRNA (ENSSMRG00000002607.1)". Lineage: Eukaryota; Metazoa; Chordata; Lepidosauria; Squamata; Teiidae. The record is from RNAcentral.